AUUGAACGCUGGCGGCAGGCCUAACACAUGCAAGUCGAGCGGAUGAAGGGAGCUUGCUCCUGGAUUCAGCGGCGGACGGGUGAGUAAUGCCUAGGAAUCUGCCUGGUAGUGGGGGAUAACGUCCGGAAACGGGCGCUAAUACGGCAUACGUCCUGAGGGAGAAAGGGGGGGAUCUUCGGACCUCACGCUAUCAGAUGAGCCUAGGUCGGAUUAGCUAGUUGGUGGGGUAAAGGCCUACCAAGGCGACGAUCCGUAACUGGUCUGAGAGGAUGAUCAGUCACACUGGAACUGAGACACGGUCCAGACUCCUACGGGAGGCAGCAGUGGGGAAUAUUGGACAAUGGGCGAAAGCCUGAUCCAGCCAUGCCGCGUGUGUGAAGAAGGUCUUCGGAUUGUAAAGCACUUUAAGUUGGGAGGAAGGGCAGUAAGUUAAUACCUUGCUGUUUUGACGUUACCAACAGAAUAAGCACCGGCUAACUUCGUG
This 484-nucleotide ribosomal RNA is filed under the name uncultured bacterium. Its description in RNAcentral is "partial 16S ribosomal RNA". It matches the Rfam family "Bacterial small subunit ribosomal RNA", at positions 30 to 507 of the family's 1533-position model. The record is from RNAcentral.